Gymnogyps californianus (California condor) is the source of this 1667-nucleotide long non-coding RNA. RefSeq lists it as uncharacterized. The transcript is spliced from 3 exons. The record is from RefSeq and is a predicted model, not a curated record. Lineage: Eukaryota; Metazoa; Chordata; Aves; Accipitriformes; Cathartidae.
UAAAGAGCAGCCUGAUAUUGUCUAAAUCCACAAGAGGCUGGCAUCGGCAGUCAGGAGAGACUUGCACCUUGGUUCUGUUAUGUCUCCUCCAAAUGACCAUUUUAAUUUGCAUGAUGGACACUUAAGGUCUGCAGAAACUCCACACAGACAUAUUGCAAGAGGAUUGUGCUGGCUGGGAACUCUGCAGCAGAAGUGACAGAGGAGGAAAAGCAAAUGGAUUAGUUGAGCAUAGGAUGACUGUGAGCCCUCAUCUUGCAGUACUUCAGAAAAGACAAAUAGGACCCUUCAGCCUAUCAAGAUAAGUAAUAUCCAAUGGGGACAGAAAAAUCUGAAUUCCAUGGCACAAGGCAGCGAUACAAAACAAAUCAUUGCAGAGUACAAAGCGAUGGUGAGACUUUAUCUGGAAUACCAUGCUGAGCCCUGGUGGCUCCUAGAAGAGAAAGCACAAAGGCCGGAACAGCCGCAGGUAUAUGCUGCUGCGCACCUGCAUAGUGGAUCCAAUGGACAGCAGCAGUGGGAGACGCACACCCUACCCGGCCCGGUGAGACUGGGCUGUGUUCUCUGCUUUCCUCUGAUCUGACUUGAGUAAUUCUCCCAUCUGGAGGAACAGGGUACUGCAAGCACGGUGUACACCAGGAGACAGUGUCCGUGCCAGCUGCUGCGCUGAGUGGUGUUAGGCUUGGAUCUGCUCCUAUAAUACGCCUUUCCAACUGCUGGGUUUUUUUUCCAGUGGUUUAUGCUAUUAACUUUCAUCCUUGGGGGCUAAUCAUGGUUCUGCUCUAAACUUCUCCUGCCUCCAACAUGAUGAGUCUCAGGGUGCAUGCUGGACCCAACAUCAUAUUUCUGGUCAACUGCCAGACUGUGUCUGGACUCAGGCACCGCAUAUGAACUUUUAUAUACCUGGAGAAAGCUUGAUUUUGUGUUUACACUUUCGAAAAUCAUGAGUCAGCUCUGUCUUGUGCUAUUUGGCACCUCCUAAGGUGUCACAUCACUAUGUCAAAAGUUUCAAAUAGGGACAACAUAAUCUCAGUCUAAGUCAUCUCUACUGCUGAAAAUUAAUUAAACAUUAUCAAAUUAGUCACAGUUUGAUGACUAUCAGCCUCUUGGUAUAAUUAAGAUACAAGAAUUAUACAAAAGUUUCCACCUACUGGAUAGGCAAAAUCUACUGCCACUUGAUCUUUUUCUGGAUUAAUCUUUUAGGCUUAAUAAUAAUAGGAUAGAAUGCAGUGAAGAGAAGUGUAAAGCACGGCACAUAUGAGAAAUUAAGUUGCACAAACAUGAAAUAGGGACUAUCUGGCUCAGCAACAGUACUUCUAGAAAGAAUAUGAUAAGGGUCAUAGAACAGGGCUCAGCAAUACAAGCUCUGGGAACAAAUAAUCAUAUUCUCUUCAUGAACAGCAGCUUGAUGCAGAAGACAUGCAGAAUAAUCAUGCAUUUUCCUCUGGCUCUUUGAAGGCUUCAGAUUAUAGAAAAACCAUUGUAGGACAGUUUAAGUUGAAACAGGCCUCUGGAGGUGAUGUCCUGUAUUAAGGUUUUGGUACCGGAUAUUAAGAAUCAUGCAAUAGGAGCAAGUUCUGGAGGAGAAUUGCCCAACAGAUGAAGUAAGAAAGAACUGCGAAGAAAGGUUCAGAAUUUGGGUUUGUUCUGUCUGGAAAAGAAGAGACUGA